Molecule: ribosomal RNA, 437 nt
Filed under: uncultured Oscillospiraceae bacterium
Lineage: Bacteria; Bacillati; Bacillota; Clostridia; Eubacteriales; Oscillospiraceae
Description: partial 16S ribosomal RNA
Rfam family: Bacterial small subunit ribosomal RNA
Source: RNAcentral
ACGGGAGGCAGCAGUGGGGAAUAUUGCACAAUGGGGGAAACCCUGAUGCAGCGAUGCCGCGUGAAGGAUGAAGGGUUUCGGCUCGUAAACUUUUAUCGAUAGUGAAGAAACAAAUGACGGUAACUAAGUAAGAAGCUCCGGCUAACUAUGUGCCAGCAGCCGCGGUAAUACAUAGGGAGCAAGCGUUAUCCGGAUUUACUGGGUGUAAAGGGCGCGUAGGCGGGGAUGCAAGUCAGAUGUGAAAUCUAUGGGCUUAACCCAUAAACUGCAUUUGAAACUGUAUUUCUUGAGUGCUGGAGAGGUAGAUGGAAUUCCUUGUGUAGCGGUGAAAUGCAUAGAUAUAAGGAAGAACACCAGUGGCGAAGGCGAUCUACUGGACAGUAACUGACGCUGAGGCGCGAAAGCGUGGGGAGCAAACAGGAUUAGAUACCCUGGUA